AUUUAAUCCUUGUUUGUCCAUUAGUUCCCAUCUCUUCAGGGCGGGGUAGAGCAGCUUGGUAGCUCGCAAGGCUCAUAACCUUGAGGUCACGGGUUCAAAUCCUGUCUCCGCAA
This 113-nucleotide transfer RNA is filed under the name Vitis vinifera subsp. sylvestris. RNAcentral's name for it is "tRNA-Met". The stretch from base 40 to 113 matches the Rfam family "tRNA". From Rfam's summary of the family: Transfer RNA (tRNA) molecules are approximately 80 nucleotides in length. Their secondary structure includes four short double-helical elements and three loops (D, anti-codon, and T loops). The record is from RNAcentral. Lineage: Eukaryota; Viridiplantae; Streptophyta; Magnoliopsida; Vitales; Vitaceae.